GAAAUGGCAGGCACCCACAGCUGCAGACCUCAAUCUGGAGACAGAGUUUUACCAUGGGCUGGUCUUGAAUUCCUGGACUCACGCGACCCUCCUGCCUCAGCCUCCCAAAGCACUGGGAUUAGAGGCAUAAGCCACCUUGCCCAGCCAAAAUGUCUUUUAUUUCUACUGUUCUAGAAACAAACUUGCUCAGUUUACAAGCCACU
RNAcentral lists this long non-coding RNA (203 nucleotides) under Homo sapiens (human). RNAcentral describes it as "non-protein coding lnc-BRD7-2:1". The record is from RNAcentral. Lineage: Eukaryota; Metazoa; Chordata; Mammalia; Primates; Hominidae.